GGUUGUGACGGGCUGUGUAGGGUUGAGGUAGUGACGGGCUGUGUAGGGUUGAGGUAGUGACGGGCUGUAUAGGGUUGAGGUAGUGACGGGCUGUGUAGGUUGUGGUUGGGACGGGCUGUAUAGGGUUGAGGUGGUGACGGGCUGUAUAGGGUUGAGGUAGUGACGGGCUGUAUAGGGUUGAGGUUGUGACGGGCUGUAUAGGUUGAGGUUGUGACGGGCUGUGUAGGGUUGAGGUAGUGACGGGCUGUGUAGGGUUGAGGUAGUGACGGGCUGUGUAGGGUUGAGGCAGUGACGGGCUGUAUAGGGUUGAGGUUGUGACGGGCUGUGUAGGGUUGAGGUUGUGACGGGCUGUAUAGGGUUGAGGUUGUGACGGGCUGUGUAGGGUUGAGGUAGUGACGGGCUGUGUAGGGUUGAGGUAGUGACGGGCUGUAUAGGGUUGAGGUAGUGACGGGCUGUGUAGGGUUGAGGUUGGGACGGGCUGUAUAGGGUUGAGGUGGUGACGGGCUGUAUAGGGUUGAGGUAGUGACGGGCUGUAUAGGGUUGAGGUUGUGACGGGCUGUAUAGAGUUGAGGUUGUGACGGGCUGUGUAGGGUUGAGGUAGUGACGGGCUGUGUAGGGUUGAGGUAGUGACGGGCUGUGUAGGGUUGAGGCAGUGACGGGCUGUAUAGGGUUUAGGUUGUGACGGGCUGUGUAGGGUUGAGGUUGUGACGGGCUGUAUAGGGUUGAGGUUGUGACGGGCUGUGUAGGGUUGAGGUUGUGACGGGCUGUGUAGGGUUGAGGUUGUGACAGGCUGUAUAGGGUUGAGGUUGUGACAGGCUGUAUAGGGUUGAGGUAGUGAUGGGCUGUGUAGGGUUGAGGUAGUGACGGGCUGUAUAGGGUUGAGCUUGUGACGGGCUGUGUAGGGUUGAGGUAGUGACGGGCUGUAUAGGGUUGAGGUAGUGACGGGCUGUGUAGGGUUGAGGUAGUGACGGGCUGUAUAGGGUUGAGGUUGUGACGGGCUGUGUAGGGUUGAGGUAGUGACGGGCUGUGUAGGGUUGAGGUAGUGACGGGCUGUAUAGGGUUGAGGUAGUGACGGGCUGUGUAAGGUUGUGGUUGGGACGGGCUGUAUAGGGUUGAGGUGGUGACGGGCUGUAUAGGGUUGAGGUAGUGACGGGCUGUAUAGGGUUGAGGUAGUGACGGGCUGUAUAGGGUUGAGGUAGUGACGGGCUGUGUAGGGUUGAGGUAGUGACGGGCUGUAUAGGGUUGAGGUAGUGACGGGCUGUGUAGGGUUGAGGUUGUGACGGGCUGUGUAGGGUUGAGGUUGUGACGGGCUGUAUAGGGUUGAGGUGGUGACGGGCUGUAUAGGGUUGAGGUUGUGACGGG
Long non-coding RNA from Oncorhynchus tshawytscha (Chinook salmon), 1362 nucleotides. The record is from Ensembl. Lineage: Eukaryota; Metazoa; Chordata; Actinopteri; Salmoniformes; Salmonidae.